GCGGGUGUGGCGGAACUGGCAGACGCACUAGACUUAGGAUCUAGCGCCUUUGGCGUGCAGGUUCGAUUCCUGUCACCCGCACCA
RNAcentral lists this transfer RNA (84 nucleotides) under Thomasclavelia spiroformis. RNAcentral's name for it is "tRNA-Leu". It matches the Rfam family "tRNA". From Rfam's summary of the family: Transfer RNA (tRNA) molecules are approximately 80 nucleotides in length. Their secondary structure includes four short double-helical elements and three loops (D, anti-codon, and T loops). The record is from RNAcentral. Lineage: Bacteria; Bacillati; Bacillota; Erysipelotrichia; Erysipelotrichales; Coprobacillaceae. RNAcentral also lists the same sequence under 2 other names.